This 236-nucleotide ribosomal RNA is filed under the name uncultured bacterium. RNAcentral's name for it is "partial 16S ribosomal RNA". It matches the Rfam family "Bacterial small subunit ribosomal RNA", at positions 15 to 240 of the family's 1533-position model. The record is from RNAcentral.
GAUCAUGGCUCAGGAUGAACGCUAGCGACAGGCCUAACACAUGCAAGUCGAGGGGCAGCGAAGAGGUAGCAAUACCUUUGCCGGCGACCGGCGCACGGGUGAGUAACACGUAUGCAAUCCACCUGUAACAGGGGGAUAACCCGGAGAAAUCCGGACUAAUACCCCAUAAUAUGGGCGCUCCGCAUGGAGAGCCCAUUAAAGAGAGCAAUUUUGGUUACAGACGAGCAUGCGUUCCA